GUCGAGCGCCCCGCAAGGGGAGCGGCAGACGGGUGAGUAACGCGUGGGAACGUACCCUUUACUACGGAAUAACGCAGGGAAACUUGUGCUAAUACCGUAUGUGCCCUUCGGGGGAAAGAUUUAUCGGUAAAGGAUCGGCCCGCGUUGGAUUAGCUAGUUGGUGGGGUAAAGGCCUACCAAGGCGACGAUCCAUAGCUGGUCUGAGAGGAUGAUCAGCCACAUUGGGACUGAGACACGGCCCAAACUCCUACGGGAGGCAGCAGUGGGGAAUAUUGGACAAUGGGCGCAAGCCUGAUCCAGCCAUGCCGCGUGAGUGAUGAAGGCCCUAGGGUUGUAAAGCUCUUUCACCGGAGAAGAUAAUGACGGUAUCCGGAGAAGAAGCCCCGGCUAACUUCGUGCCAGCAGCCGCGGUAAUACGAAGGGGGCUAGCGUUGUUCGGAAUUACUGGGCGUAAAGCGCACGUAGGCGGAUCGAUCAGUCAGGGGUGAAAUCCCAGGGCUCAACCCUGGAACUGCCUUUGAUACUGUCGAUCUGGAGUAUGGAAGAGGUGAGUGGAAUUCCGAGUGUAGAGGUGAAAUUCGUAGAUAUUCGGAGGAACACCAGUGGCGAAGGCGGCUCACUGGUCCAUUACUGACGCUG
This 639-nucleotide ribosomal RNA is filed under the name Rhizobium etli. Its description in RNAcentral is "bacterial SSU rRNA". It matches the Rfam family "Bacterial small subunit ribosomal RNA", at positions 61 to 748 of the family's 1533-position model. The record is from RNAcentral. Lineage: Bacteria; Pseudomonadati; Pseudomonadota; Alphaproteobacteria; Hyphomicrobiales; Rhizobiaceae.